Molecule: non-coding RNA, 24 nt
Filed under: Arabidopsis thaliana (thale cress)
Lineage: Eukaryota; Viridiplantae; Streptophyta; Magnoliopsida; Brassicales; Brassicaceae
Source: RNAcentral
GGAGUUCUUCCCGGCCUCAGGUCC